Myotis lucifugus (little brown bat) is the source of this 72-nucleotide non-coding RNA. The record is from Rfam. NCBI's taxonomy places the organism in Eukaryota, Metazoa, Chordata, Mammalia, Chiroptera, Vespertilionidae.
GCCGGUUUGGCUUAGUGGAUAGAGCAUCAGUCUGCAGACUGAAGGUCCUGGGUUCAAUUCCAGUCAAAGGCA